Molecule: ribosomal RNA, 440 nt
Filed under: uncultured bacterium
Lineage: Bacteria
Description: partial 16S ribosomal RNA
Rfam family: Bacterial small subunit ribosomal RNA
Source: RNAcentral
CCUACGGGAGGCAGCAGUGGGGAAUAUUGCACAAUGGGGGAAACCCUGAUGCAGCGACGCCGCGUGGGUGAAGAAGUAUUUCGGUAUGUAAAGCCCUAUCAGCAGGGAAGAAAAAGACGGUACCUGACUAAGGAGGCCCGGCUUACUACGUGACAGCAGCCGCGGUUAUACGGAAGGGGCAAACGGUAUCCGGAUUUACUUGGUGUAAAGGGGGAGUAGACGGCCGCGCAAGUCUGAAGUGAAACCCCAGGGCUCCACCAUGGAACUGCGUUGGAACCUGUGCAGCUGGAGUGCAGGAGGGGCAAGCGGAAUUCCUGGUGGAGCGGUGAAAUGCGUAGAUAUUAGGAGGAACAACGGUGGCGAAGGCGGCUUGCUGGACUGUAACUGACGUUGAGGCUCGAAGGCGUGGGGAGCAAACAGGAUUAGAGACCCUAGUAGUC